RNAcentral lists this ribosomal RNA (464 nucleotides) under uncultured Klebsiella sp. RNAcentral describes it as "bacterial SSU rRNA". It matches the Rfam family "Bacterial small subunit ribosomal RNA", at positions 338 to 795 of the family's 1533-position model. Lineage: Bacteria; Pseudomonadati; Pseudomonadota; Gammaproteobacteria; Enterobacterales; Enterobacteriaceae. The record is from RNAcentral.
CCUACGGGGGGCUGCAGUGGGGAAUAUUGCACAAUGGGCGCAAGCCUGAUGCAGCCAUGCCGCGUGUGUGAAGAAGGCCUUCGGGUUGUAAAGCACUUUCAGCGGGGAGGAAGGCGGUGAGGUUAAUAACCUCAUCGAUUGACGUUACCCGCAGAAGAAGCACCGGCUAACUCCGUGCCAGCAGCCGCGGUAAUACGGAGGGUGCAAGCGUUAAUCGGAAUUACUGGGCGUAAAGCGCACGCAGGCGGUCUGUCAAGUCGGAUGUGAAAUCCCCGGGGUCAACCUGGGAACUGCAUUCGAAACUGGCAGGCUAGAGUCUUGUAGAGGGGGGUAGAAUUCCAGGUGUAGCGGUGAAAUGCGUAGAGAUCUGGAGGAAUACCGGUGGCGAAGGCGGCCCCCUGGACAAAGACUGACGCUCAGGUGCGAAAGCGUGGGGAGCAAACAGGAUAGAUACCCCAGUAGUC